Molecule: long non-coding RNA, 730 nt
Filed under: Anser brachyrhynchus (Pink-footed goose)
Lineage: Eukaryota; Metazoa; Chordata; Aves; Anseriformes; Anatidae
Description: lncRNA (ENSABRG00000009021.1)
Source: RNAcentral
GCGGCCGCCAAAGUUGCGGCGGGGCCGUGGUCUGCCGCGGCUGCCAGCCAUCAAGUGGCUCGUUAAGGAAAUGCAGGUGAGCGGGCGGAGCGGCAGGGGGCUGCACAAGGCGCGGCGCGGAGCGCGCCUCCCGGUCCGAUCCUCGCCGUCCCCCCGGGCCGCUGCAGCCGGCGGCGCCGGGCGCGGAUCUGGGGCCGCUGCCGCGCCCCCGGAGGUGGCCGCUCCGCCGCCCCCCGCCCCGCCCGCAGCCCCCUCCUCCCUCUUCCCCACCCCUCCUCGCUCCCUCUCUCCUCCCUCUUUCCUCUUUCUCUCUCUCUCUCUCUCUCUCUCGCUCGGUCUCUCUUUGCCGGCCUCAUCGGAGAGAGUUGCAGUUCCUUCUGGGCCUGUGUGGACUAGGGGCACAAUCCGUCGCCUGACUGGCAGGAGGGGAAAGUGGAGACUCCUUCAGGUUUCCAAAGAGGUACGAGCAGACAGCAUUAAAUACGUACUUGGAAGUAGAGGAGUUUAAGAAGAAAUUAGAUGGCAAUCAUGAAGCCCAAGCUUUACCUACUGAAAAGCCGUUCAUAGGAGAUAACUUUAUAAAUACAAUCUGAUUGUAUGGAUUUUGAUGGAAUUCUCAGUCUGUUGUCCCUGGAUUUGUGCACUUCACAGGCACAAUGUAUGUAGAAAUACAUGUCAGAAUGUAAACCUAGUUUUUGAAAACAAAUAAAAAUAUUCUAAAUUGUGACCA